This 517-nucleotide ribosomal RNA is filed under the name uncultured Sphingobacterium sp. RNAcentral describes it as "bacterial SSU rRNA". It matches the Rfam family "Bacterial small subunit ribosomal RNA", at positions 9 to 516 of the family's 1533-position model. RNAcentral also lists the same sequence under 1 other name. Lineage: Bacteria; Pseudomonadati; Bacteroidota; Sphingobacteriia; Sphingobacteriales; Sphingobacteriaceae. The record is from RNAcentral.
GAGUUUGAUCUUGGCUCAGGAUGAACGCUAGCGGCAGGCUUAAUACAUGCAAGUCGUGGGGCAGCAUGACUGUAGCAAUACAGUUGAUGGCGACCGGCAAACGGGUGCGGAACACGUACACAACCUUCCUUUAAGUGGGGAAUAGCCCGGGGGAAACCCGGAUUAAUACCCCGUAAUAUAAUGAAGUGGCAUCACUUUAUUAUUAUAGCUCCGGCGCUUGAAGAUGGGUGUGCGACUGAUUAGGCAGUUGGCGGGGUAAUGGCCCACCAAACCUACGAUCAGUAACUGGUGUGAGAGCACGACCAGUCACACGGGCACUGAGACACGGGCCCGACUCCUACGGGAGGCAGCAGUAAGGAAUAUUGGUCAAUGGAGGCAACUCUGAACCAGCCAUGCCGCGUGCAGGAAGACGGCCCUACGGGUUGUAAACUGCUUUUGCAGGGGAAUAAACCCCCAUUCGUGAAUGGGGCUGAAUGUACUCUGAGAAUAAGGAUCGGCUAACUCCGUGCCAGCCGCG